UCCUGGUUAACCCAGGCAGUCUCAAUAGAGUUCCCACCAUCACGUGUUGGCAACUAUUGAUAAGGGUUGCGCUCGUUGCGGGACUUAACCCAACACCUCACGGCACGAGCUGACGACAGCCAUGCAGCACCUGUGCAGUGGCCCUUACGGGAAACAACAUUUCUGCUGUCGUCCACUGCAUGUCAAGUCUGGGUAAGGUUCUUCGCGUUGCAUCGAAUUAAACCACAUGCUCCACUGCUUGUGCGGGUCCCCGUCAAUUCUUUUGAGUUUCACCCUUGCGAGUGUACUUCCCAGGCGGUAUACUUAACGCGUUAGCUCCGGCACAACCGGGGUUGAGUCCAGUUACACCAAGUAUACAUCGUUUACAGCAAGGACUAC
RNAcentral lists this unclassified non-coding RNA (378 nucleotides) under uncultured Parachlamydiaceae bacterium. RNAcentral's name for it is "contains 16S-23S intergenic spacer region". The record is from RNAcentral. Lineage: Bacteria; Pseudomonadati; Chlamydiota; Chlamydiia; Parachlamydiales; Parachlamydiaceae.